AGUCUGAGAAUCCCCCCGGUGUGAAAACAUGACGAACAUACCACACCACUAGAGAGGGAGUUGCACCACAGAGAGGAGCUUUUAACACGCUGCAUUCCUGCUGCUGGUCCACAGCUGGACUCCAAAGUAAAGUUUACAUUCCUGGGUUGCUGGGAGGAAUGCUGCCCUCUGGGGCUCUGGAUCAGGCCUGUGGAUUACAAGUCAGGGAGCACGGAUGGAGACUGGGAUACUCACUUACCGGAGAUAUCAACAGCACUGACUCGAUCUACCCAGACUUUGUGUUUGAACCACACAUGCAUCGAUCAGAUCUAUUGACUUGAUGAUGGAAAUAUAAAAACUUUGUGUUGACACUUGCA
Long non-coding RNA from Solea senegalensis (Senegalese sole), 356 nucleotides. RefSeq lists it as uncharacterized. Lineage: Eukaryota; Metazoa; Chordata; Actinopteri; Pleuronectiformes; Soleidae. The record is from RefSeq and is a predicted model, not a curated record. The transcript has 2 exons.